CCUACGGGUGGCAGCAGUGGGGAAUCUUGGACAAUGGGCGCAAGCCUGAUCCAGCUAUUCCGCGUGUGGGAAGACGGCCUUCGGGUUGUAAACCACUUUUGUAGAGAACGAAAAGUCUAUUGAUAAUACCGAUAGAUGAUGACGGUACUCUAAGAAUAAGCACCGGCUAACUACGUGCCAGCAGCCGCGGUAAUACGUAGGGUGCGAGCGUUAGUCGGAAUUACUGGGCGUAAAGGGGGUGCAGGCGGGUUUGCAAGAUGGAUGUGAAAGCCCCGGGCUUAACCUGGGAAAGCCAUACAUUACUGCAAGACUAGAGUGCGUCAGAGGGGGGUGGAAUUCCAAGUGUAGCAGUGAAAUGCGUAGAUAUUUGGAAGAACACCGAUGGCGAAGGCAGCCCCCUGGAACGCAACUGACGCUCAUACACGAAAGCGUGGGGAGCAAACAGGAUUAGAUACCCUUGUAGUC
Molecule: ribosomal RNA, 465 nt
Filed under: uncultured bacterium
Lineage: Bacteria
Description: partial 16S ribosomal RNA
Rfam family: Bacterial small subunit ribosomal RNA
Source: RNAcentral